GUUAUAUUGUCAUCAGAAAUACUUGUUCUGUAUUUAGAUUUUAUAAAAUGUGUACAUAAAAAUGUAUAGUUAAUGUGGCUGGCCCUGUGGCCUAGUGGUUGAGUUUGGCCCGCUCUGCCUCUGCUGCCCUGGUUCAGUUCCCAGCAGGAGACCUACACCACUCAUGGUCAGCCACGCUGUGACCGUGACCCACACACAAAUAGAGGAAGAUGGGCACAGAUGGUAGCUCAGGGACUAUGUUCCUCGCCAAAAAGAAAAAAGAAGUAUGGUUAAAAUGCAUACCCAAAUGUUUCCAAUCAUGCCAAGUUUUCAAAUAAUUGAAUAGAGCAUCAGUUUUCAAAUUUAAACUUAAAUUAGUUAAAGUUAAAUAAAGUUAAAAUUCCAUUCGUCAGUGGCACUGGGCCACAUUUCCAGCACUCAGUAGCCCCAUGGGUAGAGGCUGCCAUAUUGGACAGCCCAGAUCCACAGGCUAAGAAAUGAGCAUGUCCUGCCUGCUCGUGGAGGUUCUUUCUUCUCGAACCCUUUCUAAGCAACUACGGAGGAGGUUUUGGGGGACAUGUUGCAGAGGUCAAACCAAAGCAAAGAACUCCUCAAGAGGAAGUAUAAAUGCCAAGGCCCUCUUAUAUCCAACUGCCCUGGGGCCCAACUUUCUCCAUAGGAAUCUCCUCAGCAGCCCCCUGCCCAGACAUGUGGCUCAGGCACAGAAAGAAGAGAUGAAGCAGAUGUUGAGGAAGUGAGUUGGCCCCAUUAAAAGGAUCUCCCGAGGUCCAAGAUCAGCCAGACAUGGUUUCUGAAACUGCAACAAUACAGGCGUGCAGCACUCGACGCCUGCGGGCACUGGGCGCUACGGGCCACCGGUUCGCAACUGCUGAUAGAAACGAUGAUUCCGAUGAUUCAGUCACAGCCAGAACUCUGCAGUAGCUGCAUGGUGAUGGCAAAAUGUGCCGGCUCAUGGGGAACAUGCAGGAAAUUACAGAGAACAUCCUGGAAACACAGGCUGCGUCUCCUUUCUCUCCCUGUUUGUCUAUUUUUAAACUGUCAUCAGUUUCCAUUGCUGAGCACCUCCAGUGAAUUAGCAUCCAGAAGGGUGUCUGGCAGGGGCUCAGGAAACAGGUGGAAUGGCUGAAUGAAAGGUGACCUACAAAUUAUGCCGAAAAUCCUGUCAUCCUCAGCAGUUUACAAACAGGAUAUUCA
RNAcentral lists this long non-coding RNA (1194 nucleotides) under Equus asinus (donkey). Its description in RNAcentral is "lncRNA (ENSEASG00005025945.1)". Lineage: Eukaryota; Metazoa; Chordata; Mammalia; Perissodactyla; Equidae. The record is from RNAcentral.